UCCCUGAUAGCUCAGUUGGUAAAGAAUCUGCCUGCAAUGCAGGAGACCCUGGUUCAGUUCCUGGGUCAGGGAG
This is a non-coding RNA of Bos taurus (domestic cattle), 73 nucleotides long. The record is from Rfam. Lineage: Eukaryota; Metazoa; Chordata; Mammalia; Artiodactyla; Bovidae.